RNAcentral lists this ribosomal RNA (1172 nucleotides) under metagenome. RNAcentral describes it as "bacterial LSU rRNA". It matches the Rfam family "Bacterial large subunit ribosomal RNA", at positions 707 to 1989 of the family's 2925-position model. The record is from RNAcentral.
GAGUAGACCCGAAACCGGGUGAUCUAGCCAUGGGCAGGUUGAAGAUGCGGUAACACGCAUUGGAGGACCGAACCCACGCCUGUUGAAAUAGGCGGGGAUGACCUGUGGCUAGGGGUGAAAGGCCAAUCAAACCCGGAGAUAGCUGGUUCUUUGCGAAAACUAUUUAGGUAGUGCGUCAGUUAUAACUGUCGGGGGUAGAGCACUGGAUGGGCUAGGGGGGCGCGAGCCUUACCAAACCUAACCAAACUCCGAAUACCGGCAAGUUGAGACUGGCAGACAGUCCAUGGGUGCUAAGGUCCGUGGACGAGAGGGAAACAGCCCAGACCACCAGCUAAGGUCCCCAAAUUAUGGCUAAGUGGGAAAGGAUGUGGGAAGGCCAUGACAGCCAGGAGGUUGGCUUAGAAGCAGCCAUCCUUUAAAGAAAGCGUAACAGCUCACUGGUCUAGAUAAGCCGGCCUGCGCCGAAGAUGUAACGGGGCUAAAGCCAUAUACCGAAGCUGUGGAUGCAACGUAAGUUGCAUGGUAGCAAAGCGUUCCGUAAGUCUGUGAAGCCUACACCGUGAGGGUAGGUGGAGAUAUCGGAAGUGAGAAUGCUGACAUGAGUAGCGAUAAACAGUGUGAGAGACACUGUCGCCGAAAGCCCAAGGGUUCCUGCUUAAAGCUAAUCUGAGCAGGGUUAGUCGGCCCCUAAGACGAGGGCGAAAGCCGUAGUCGAUGGGAACACGGUUAAUAUUCCGUGACCUGAUGGUUGUGACGAAUGGCUAGCAUUGUACACACUUAUCGGAUUGUGUGUGCAUCAAGGCCGUUCCAGGAAAUAGCACCAUCAUUAAGACCGUACCCCAAACCGACACAGGUGGGCAGGUAGAGCAUACUAAGGCGCUUGAGAGAACGAUGUUGAAGGAACUCGGCAAAUUGCCCCCGUAACUUCGGGAGAAGGGGGGCCUGUGUUUGGGCAACCAGAUACAGGUGGCACAGAAUAGGGGGUGGCGACUGUUUAUUAAAAACACAGGGCUCUGCGAAGUAGUAUAUACGACGUAUAGGGUCUGACGCCUGCCCGGUGCCGGAAGGUUAAGAGGAGGUGUGAGAGCUCCGAAUUGAAGCCCCGGUAAACGGCGGCCGUAACUAUAACGGUCCUAAGGUAGCGAAAUUCCUUGUCGGGUAAGUUCCGACCU